Molecule: ribosomal RNA, 468 nt
Filed under: uncultured bacterium
Lineage: Bacteria
Description: partial 16S ribosomal RNA
Rfam family: Bacterial small subunit ribosomal RNA
Source: RNAcentral
GACGAACGCUGGCGGCGUGCUUAACACAUGCAAGUCGAACGGAAAGGCCCUGCUUUUGUGGGGUGCUCGAGUGGCGAACGGGUGAGUAACACGUGAGUAACCUGCCCUUGACUUUGGGAUAACUUCAGGAAACUGGGGCUAAUACCGGAUAGGAGCUCCUGCUGCAUGGUGGGGGUUGGAAAGUUUCGGCGGUUGGGGAUGGACUCGCGGCUUAUCAGCUUGUCGGUGGGGUAGUGGCUUACCAAGGCUUUGACGGGUAGCCGGCCUGAGAGGGUGACCGGCCACAUUGGGACUGAGAUACGGCCCAGACUCCUACGGGAGGCAGCAGUGGGGAAUAUUGCACAAUGGGCGGAAGCCUGAUGCAGCAACGCCGCGUGCGGGAUGACGGCCUUCGGGUUGUAAACCGCUUUCGCCUGUGACGAAGCGUGAGUGACGGUAAUGGGUAAAGAAGCACCGGCUUACUACGUG